AUUCUGCCCAUGCGGGGAAGGAUGAGAAGCUUCGACUAAGGUUCGACUUGAGCGCCAGCGAGAGAGCGUUGCCGCAGGCAACGACCCGAAGGGCGAAGCGCGCAGCGCUGAGUAAUCCUUCCCUCACCACCA
RNAcentral lists this small RNA (132 nucleotides) under Escherichia coli. RNAcentral describes it as "RtT sRNA". It matches the Rfam family "RtT RNA". From Rfam's summary of the family: This family represents a bacterial cis-regulatory element known as RtT RNA. The exact function of RtT is unknown although it is thought that it may be involved in changing the cellular response in relation to amino acid starvation. The record is from RNAcentral. Lineage: Bacteria; Pseudomonadati; Pseudomonadota; Gammaproteobacteria; Enterobacterales; Enterobacteriaceae.